GACGAACGCUGGCGGCGUGCUUAACACAUGCAAGUCGAACGGAAAGGCCUGCUUUCCCUUGUGGAUUGCGGGUACUCGAGUGGCGAACGGGUGAGUAACACGUGAGUGAUCUGCCCCCAACUUGGGUAUAAGCCUGGGAAACUGGGUCUAAUUCCCGAUAGGACUGCAGGGUGGUGCCUGUGGUGGAAAACGAUUUUCUAGUGGUUGGGGAUGAGCUCGCGGCCUAUCAGCUUGUUGGUGGGGUAAUGGCCUACCAAGGCGGCGACGGGUAGCCGGCCUGAGAGGGUGGACGGCCACAUUGGGACUGAGAUACUGCCCAGACUCCUACGGGAGGCAGCAGUGGGGAAUAUUGCACAAUGGGCGGAAGCCUGAUGCAGCGACGCCGCGUGGGGGAUGACGGCCUUCGGGUUGUAAACUCCUUUCGACCGCGAGGAAGCCACCUGGUUGGAAGGGUGGUGACGGUAGUGGUAGAAGAAGCACCGGCUAACUACGUG
This 494-nucleotide ribosomal RNA is filed under the name uncultured bacterium. RNAcentral's name for it is "partial 16S ribosomal RNA". It matches the Rfam family "Bacterial small subunit ribosomal RNA", at positions 28 to 507 of the family's 1533-position model. The record is from RNAcentral.